This 275-nucleotide ribosomal RNA is filed under the name uncultured bacterium. Its description in RNAcentral is "partial 16S ribosomal RNA". It matches the Rfam family "Bacterial small subunit ribosomal RNA", at positions 338 to 626 of the family's 1533-position model. The record is from RNAcentral.
CCUACGGGGGGCUGCAGUCGAGAAUCUUCCACAAUGGACGCAAGUCUGAUGGAGCGACAUCGCGUGACUGAUGACGGGCUUCGGUCUGUAAAGGUCUUUUAUGAAGGAAGAAGUUUAUUGACGGUACUUCAUGAAUAAGGGGUUGCUAAACUCGUGCCAGCAGCAGCGGUAAUACGAGUACCCCGAGCGUUAUCCGGAAUUAUUGGGCGUAAAGGAUGUGUAGGUGGUUAUGUUAGUCGUGUGUUAAAGCCCGGAGCUCAACUUCGGAUCCGCAU